GUGGGGAAUUUUGCGCAAUGGGGGAAACCCUGACGCAGCAACGCCGCGUGAGUGAUGAAGGCCUUCGGGUCGUAAAGCUCUGUCAGAGGGGAAGAAGUGUGAGGUGGCUAAUAUCCAUUUCACUUGACGGUACCUUCAAAGGAAGCACCGGCUAACUCCGUGCCAGCAGCCGCGGUAAUACGGAGGGUGCGAGCGUUGUUCGGAAUUAUUGGGCGUAAAGCGCGUGUAGGCGGUUUUUUAAGUCUGAUGUGAAAGCCCUGGGCUCAACCCGGGAAGUGCAUUGGAAACUGGGAGACUUGAAUACGGGAGAGGGCAGUGGAAUUCCUGGUGUAGGAGUGAAAUCCGUAGAUAUCAGGAGGAACACCGGUGGCGAAGGCGGCUGCCUGGACCGAUAUUGACGCUGAGACGCGAAAGCGUGGGGAGCAAACAGGAUUAGAUACCCUUGUAGUCC
This 451-nucleotide ribosomal RNA is filed under the name uncultured bacterium. RNAcentral's name for it is "partial 16S ribosomal RNA". It matches the Rfam family "Bacterial small subunit ribosomal RNA", at positions 354 to 796 of the family's 1533-position model. The record is from RNAcentral.